UUGGACUAUAUGCAGUAUGGACGGCGACGCCGUGCAGCUCAUUGGCGGCGUACGUGUGAUUCGAGCGAGCACCCGAGGCACCCCUAGCGUGACCUGUUCCAGAGACUUCGGCCUCCUUCCCGCACUAGCACCGGAUCACCGGUCAGGCUCCAUUGGGCCGAGGGGAAAAGGAGGCCGGCGAGCUUGAGCCACCGCCGCCGGUGAGAUCCGUGGCGGCUGAUCCGGGGGAGGUCGCUAGGCACGACGACGACGUUCCCCUCCCUCACGUUUUGACUUCCUACCGAAUUGGGGUGGGCGUGGCCUCGAUGUGGCUGUGGCCUCCGCAUCCUCCGGCGAUGCGGACGGCUCGUGCAUGCAGUGCGCUAGCUGUGGAUGUUCAGUGCAGGUGCGCAGUUCCGGCAUCAAUUUUUUUUGUAUACUCAUUUUAGUUGGCUGGAUGUAUGUAUUUGUGAAGUUCUAUAUAUUUUCUGAAGAGGGGUUCACUCUCCGAGAAGGAGAAAAAAUGUGUGAUUCGAUUGUUUAAGUGUAUGUGUGAGGUUCAUUAUAGUAUCUAGUGAAGUUUUAUAUUUUCUGAAGAGAGGUUUGCUCUCUGAGAAGGUGAGAAAAGUACAGAAAAAUCCCAGCAUGCAGUUCUUUUCACUGAGUAAAUAGAAAAAAAACAUCUCCAAAAGAAGCUAGCUUCUUAUUAGAUGAAGUUCACACCUAAGUUGGAAUACACGCCUAACAAAAG
Molecule: long non-coding RNA, 730 nt
Filed under: Triticum aestivum (bread wheat)
Lineage: Eukaryota; Viridiplantae; Streptophyta; Magnoliopsida; Poales; Poaceae
Description: long non-coding RNA (TAES_LNC005129)
Source: RNAcentral